GAUGCAACACUUUUUAAAAGAAAAUGUAAGUCUGAGGCUUGUUACAUGCAGUGUGUUCCGAGGUUUGAAAUUGGAUUGGUUAAUGCUUUAAGCACCAUAACAUCUGUUUGGCCUGAAGAGAAUUAAUAACAUCAAAUAUAGAAAAUAGUCCAGUUCAAAUUAUAAACAAGUUGUAGUGCCAUCUCAGUUGGCAGUGUAAGGGUACUUUUCUUCUAAAAAAAGAAUCAGCAGCAAUUUGUGGGUGGGUGGGUGGGUUUUUUUGUGUGGUGGUAGGCGUUUUUUUGUAUUUUUUCUGUGGGUUUGUUUUUUUUUUUUCCCAGCAGUUAGUGCUGUUUGUUGCAGUGACUGGGAUUUUCAAGUGAGUAUUGUUUAUGCUCCCUAUAGAUAUGUGUUUUUGAAAACCAAGGCGGUUUAUCUUGUUAAUUUAGGUUAAAAAAACCCUAAAAAGUUUAGGUUUCCACCUAAACUGUGGAAAGUGAUUAGAGGGAACCACAACGUGUGACUUGUUUUCAGUGUCUCUUUCUCAUUUUGUUUCUUCUGUAGGUUUAGCUGAAGUGUAGGAGUCUCCUCUGAGAGCUCAGCACAUACUAUUGGGAGACUCGCAGGAUGAGGGUUUGUGAUCUCUCCCCUCCUUCCACCAGCAUCAGGCAAAUUGAUGAGUUUCCCUCUGCGGGAGCUCUGCUGCACAACGGUUUGCUCUUAUCAACUGAGCCAUCAUCAGCCUGCUGUCUCUGUGUUAAUUUUUAAUGUGUUGGAAACUCUAAGCUGUCAGAAGGAGCACCUAUGUGUACAAACUAUAAACCAGGGCAAGAACUAGCGGAACAUCUAUCCUGGAGUCACGUUUUAUGCAGGUAAAAAAGAAACCGAGUGGAGAGCUGAAGAGCAGGACUGUUGACCGGUCUGCCUGGGCUCAGGAAGGAGGAGUGAGCACUGAGGCUGUGUGGCUGUAACACCAAGAGUAAGUCUCUUGUUUGGGGUUUACAGAGCACCUGUGUGUGGGCCACUCAGUUUAACCUUUGUCUUGAGGUCUGUUAGCAUUUGUCAAGGCUCACUAGUAAGGCAGGAAAAUCCUCUAGUGGUAGUGAGGUUGCCGUGGCAGUGGGUGGGAAGCCACAUAAAAUGCUCACAGGUAACGCAGCACCUUCACCUGGGCCUGCACAGCGGAGUGCCCCGAGCUGCAGCGCUUGGCGCAUAAAGGUGGGGGGAAGGUUCUGUAAGAUGCUCGCUCUUUCACACACCGGCCUGUCCUAAGCACUUCCCCGCAAAACAUGGAGUAGUUUGGGCCUGAGGGUGAGAAGACUGCAGGAAAUCAGCAAAGAGGGGGAACCUCCCCCCAAACCUAAGCAGCGAGAAUAGUACUUGUCAGUGUAGCAGGGCCAGAGAAGGGUAACUCACGGCGUAACCUACGGUGUGAAGGAGCUUGUCCUAGAGGCUGGGGGGAGCACGUCCAGCCUUACCGCUGGGAAUCGCCUUUAAAUCAAAGUGAGCAGGAGCAGGAUGGCACUUAGCAGGGCCUGCUGUUGUAAGCGCUGCGGGCGGAGGGGAACUCCAGGCCAGCCCGGCACAGCAGGAAUAGCUGCACGGAGCUUUCUGGAAAACAGGGCCAUGGGGUGUCCCUCUGCUCCGCUGCUGGUGGCCAAGGGCCCCGAAGGCUGGGGGAGCGGGCCCGCUGCACUGCUGUGCCCGUUCCAUGGGGUGCUCCAGCUUCUCCCUGUCACACGGGCGCUCCUGGGGCCACUUGCUGGUGGGGAACUGCUUGUUUAACACUGGGAAACGUGGUUCUUGACCUCAGGGCUAGAAGGUGUGCACCAAAGGACACUACGUAUGCUGCUGCAGUUACCAGGGCGUGGGGAAAUAAGACAACUGGCGCCUGUUCCCUGGCUGAGGAACGUAUUUUUGCAGAAAGUGUGGGGCAUGUUCCAGCCAAAGGCCGGACAGAGGGAGAUGGGUCUGAAAAACAGAAAUGAGAAGUGACUCCAGUUCUAAGAGAGACUGAUGUGCCUUGGCUGUUGUAAGUGUGCAGCUGGGGGAAAAAAAAAAAAAAAAAAGAAGCUAAGCAUAAAAA
Falco peregrinus (peregrine falcon) is the source of this 2065-nucleotide long non-coding RNA. RefSeq lists it as uncharacterized. The record is from RefSeq and is a predicted model, not a curated record. NCBI's taxonomy places the organism in Eukaryota, Metazoa, Chordata, Aves, Falconiformes, Falconidae. The transcript is spliced from 2 exons.